This 181-nucleotide non-coding RNA is filed under the name Fabrea salina. Lineage: Eukaryota; Ciliophora; Heterotrichea; Heterotrichida; Fabreidae. The record is from RNAcentral.
AGCGAGUUCUUUAGCUCUGAGUGUAGUUAAGUUGCUCUAUCAAUACUCCAAAAACUCCAAAAACGACCAGUACUUCGAACAAGAAGUUUUGCUUGAAGAACUCCAUAGAGUCUUAGUCAAAGCUGUCAACUACGACGACUUGCCUUACGAACUACUUAUAUUUGCACUGGGAACCAUUAAA